RNAcentral lists this ribosomal RNA (170 nucleotides) under Cypripedium lichiangense. RNAcentral describes it as "5.8S ribosomal RNA". Lineage: Eukaryota; Viridiplantae; Streptophyta; Magnoliopsida; Asparagales; Orchidaceae. The record is from RNAcentral.
UUGCGCCCGAGGCCAUCAGGCUAAGGGCACGCCUGCCUGGGCGUCGUAUGUUUUAUCUCUCCUUCCAAUGCUUGUCCAGCAUAUAGCUAGGCCAUCAUUGUGUGGAUGUGAAAGAUUGGCCCCUUGUGCUUAGGUGCGGUGGGUCUAAGGAUAUGUGUUUUGAUGGUCUG